AAGCUCGUAGUUGAAUUUCGGGGUCAGUAGGUUGGUCGUGCCACCGGUACGUACUGGUCUCACUGAUUCCUCCUUCCUGAUGAGCUGUAAUGCCAUUAAUUUGGUGUUGCAGGGAAUCUGGACUGUUACUUUGAAAAAACUUAGAGUGUUUGAAGCAGGCUAACGCUUGAAUACAUUGGCAUGGAAUAAUGAAAUAGGACGUUCGAUCCUAUUUUAGUUGGUUUCUAGGAUUGACGUAAUGAUUAAUAGGGAUAGUUGGG
RNAcentral lists this ribosomal RNA (260 nucleotides) under uncultured Glomus. RNAcentral's name for it is "partial 18S ribosomal RNA". It matches the Rfam family "Eukaryotic small subunit ribosomal RNA", at positions 624 to 886 of the family's 1831-position model. The record is from RNAcentral. Lineage: Eukaryota; Fungi; Glomeromycota; Glomeromycetes; Glomerales; Glomeraceae.